UAAAAGUAAAGUUAAUGCAGUACAUUUAAAAAAAUGUAAGGAAGCUGCUGUCUAUACAGUACAUCUAACAGAGCUGCUGUGUCAGCAACUGAUAUUGGCACAUGUGCAGAAUGGCGUGAAGAUUUCGGGGCAUACUCAGAACGAAGUGUGUGAUCCAAUCCCCGCUGGAAUCGCGCUAUUGCACCCACAGUAGCAGAAGUAUUCUCCUAUUAAGGAGAGAAGAAGCCAGACUGCAUGAAAUACAUUGAGAUGUUUCCUGAAUGUAAAGUCCCAUCCCAGCCAGUGUGUGAAACAAAUGGCAAGACAUACAAGAAUGAGUGUCAGCUCUGCGUCAUCGACUGGUACCAAUCAAAUUUUUUUUGUUUAUUACACAUAACUUUGAGUCAGAAAUAUAAACGUUGCACUAAUGAAGUGUAAACAGUGGCCUGCAUUUUAUGGGCCCCAGCUAUGCCUGUCUCUUUGUUGGCUACGUAGAGCAGUUGAUCUUCCGUAAUUACACCGGCACCA
Non-coding RNA from Chiloscyllium plagiosum (whitespotted bambooshark), 507 nucleotides. The record is from RefSeq and is a predicted model, not a curated record. NCBI's taxonomy places the organism in Eukaryota, Metazoa, Chordata, Chondrichthyes, Orectolobiformes, Hemiscylliidae.